ACCCCCGCCGAACCGUAGCUAACGCACUAAGUACCCCGCCUGGGAAGUACGGUCGCAAGACUAAAACUCAAAGGAGUUGACGGGGGCCCGCACAAGCGGUGGAUCAUGUGGUUUAAUUCGAAGCAACGCGAAGAACCUUACCUGGAUUUGACAUCUCCUGACAGUCCUAGAAAUAGGAUUUCUGUAGUAAUACAGCAGGAAGACAGGUGCUGCAUGGCUGUCGUCAGCCCGUGUGGUGACAUGUUGGGUUAAGUCCCGCAACGAGCGCAACCCCUGUCCUUAGUUGCCAGCAUUCAGUUGGGCACUCUAAGGAGACUGCCGUGGUGAACACGGAGGAAGGUGGGGAUGACGUCAAGUCCUCAUGGCCUUUAUAUCCAGGGCGACACACGUGGUACAAUGGACGGUACAAAGGGAAGCAAAGGGGAAACCUGGAGCCAAUCUCAAAAAGCCGUUCUCAGUUCGGAUUGGAGUCUGCAACUCGACUCCAUGAAGUUGGAAUCGCUAGUAAUCGCGGAUCAGCACGCCGCGGUGAAUACGUUCCCGGGCCUUGUACACACCGCCCGUCACACCAUGGGAGCUGACUCAACCAGAAGACGAUCAGGCUAACCGAAAGGAGGCCUUCG
Molecule: ribosomal RNA, 623 nt
Filed under: uncultured delta proteobacterium
Lineage: Bacteria; Deltaproteobacteria
Description: bacterial SSU rRNA
Rfam family: Bacterial small subunit ribosomal RNA
Source: RNAcentral